Molecule: long non-coding RNA, 670 nt
Organism: Tachysurus fulvidraco (yellow catfish)
Lineage: Eukaryota; Metazoa; Chordata; Actinopteri; Siluriformes; Bagridae
Exons: 3
Source: RefSeq, a predicted model, not a curated record
AUCUCAUCUAGGGAAAAAAACAAAAACUGUUUUUUUGGGGUUUUUUUAGAUCAACAUCUCCAAAGGAUUUCAGUGAUCUUUAAUGAGAUCGAGAUGAAUGAGAUUAUACAAUGAGGAUCGUCUACAUUCUGAUUACAUCAUCAGACAGCAUACAGAAAACAGGCUCGGUCAAACACAAUUAAACCCUCUGUCUAACUGUAGCUUUGUAGUUUUACCCUGGAGACAUAAGUGUAAAUUGUGUGAAGAAGAGGAGAUCUAUUUUGUUCCUGGGUGAAAGAAGACAAUGUGGAUCGAUCUGUUAUUUACGCCUGUUACCUGGUGGCAGGAUCCCCAGCACUGCCGUGACCGAGACGUUACCCAAGUCAUUCCUGGCAAUGCAUCUGUAGGUCCCCGAAUCCGCCCGAGUCGCAUCCUCGAUCUGCAGCCAGCUAGAGAGCUCAUACUUCUGAGGUCCUCCUCUGGACUGUGUGUAGGAUGAUGGGGGGAAACGUGAGGAUCGUCUCCAGGCAAAACAACCUCCUUUCCCUCUUUCCUCCAUUCCACCAGCGCCAUAGGAAAGGCGAAGACCUCGCACAAAAACACAGCACUGCUGCCGGUCACGUUCACCAAGUUACGCGGCGGGACUUUGAUGACAGGAACUUACCGCGAAGAAAGAGAAAAAAAAAAGAGA